Molecule: ribosomal RNA, 253 nt
Filed under: uncultured bacterium
Lineage: Bacteria
Description: partial 16S ribosomal RNA
Rfam family: Bacterial small subunit ribosomal RNA
Source: RNAcentral
GACAGAGGUCCCGAGCGUUAGGCGGAAUCACUGGGCUUAAAGCGUGUGUAGGCGGAUGCCUAAGUACCUUGUGAAAUCCCACGGCUCACCCGUGGAACUGCUUGGUAUACUGGGUGUCUUGAGCCACUUAGGGGCUACCGGAACAAAUGGUGGAGCGGUGAAAUGCGUAGAUAUCUGGAGGAAUACCGGUGGCGAAGGCGGCAUCCUGGACCGACAUUGACGCUGAACGGCGAAAGCUAGGGGAGCAAACGGG